RNAcentral lists this ribosomal RNA (437 nucleotides) under uncultured Enterobacteriaceae bacterium. Its description in RNAcentral is "bacterial SSU rRNA". It matches the Rfam family "Bacterial small subunit ribosomal RNA", at positions 1054 to 1492 of the family's 1533-position model. Lineage: Bacteria; Pseudomonadati; Pseudomonadota; Gammaproteobacteria; Enterobacterales; Enterobacteriaceae. The record is from RNAcentral.
GUCAGCUCGUGUUGUGAAAUUUGGGUUAAGUCCCGCAACGAGCGCAACCCUUAUCCUUUUGUUGCCAGCGUUCGGCCGGGAACUCAAAGGAGACUGCCAGUGAUAAACUGGAGGAAGGUGGGGAUGACGUCAAGUCAUCAUGGCCCUUACGAGUAGGGCUACACACGUGCUACAAUGGCGCAUACAAAGAGAAGCGACCUCGCGAGAGCAAGCGGACCUCAUAAAGUGCGUCGUAGUCCGGAUUGGAGUCUGCAACUCGACUCCAUGAAGUCGGAAUCGCUAGUAAUCGUAGAUCAGAAUGCUACGGUGAAUACGUUCCCGGGCCUUGUACACACCGCCCGUCACACCAUGGGAGUGGGUUGCAAAAGAAGUAGGUAGCUUAACCUUCGGGAGGGCGCCUACCACUUUGUGAUUCAUGACUGGGGUGAAGUCGUAAC